UGUGCUGCCGAGCAAAUCCUGGAGCCCGAGUAGAGGGCUGCUGAGUCUCCAUCCCUAACGGGACUCUACGGGAGCCCGGGCUGCUUUUAGAACCAUGGGAUUGCAAAACGGGUCGUAGCCCACUCUUCGCUCCAGCAGAGCCCCUUAUGCAAUCAGGGCCACCAAGCCGGAGAUGUCCGACAAGAUGUCAAGCUUCUUGCAUAUUGGAGACAUUUGUUCUUUAUACGCAGAAGGCUCAACAAAUGGAUUUAUCAGCACUUUGGGACUUGUGGAUGACCGGUGUGUUGUACAGCCAGAAGCAGGUGAUCUUAACAGCCCUCCGAAGAAAUUCAGAG
This is a long non-coding RNA of Sphaerodactylus townsendi, 335 nucleotides long. RefSeq lists it as uncharacterized. The transcript has 3 exons. The record is from RefSeq and is a predicted model, not a curated record. NCBI's taxonomy places the organism in Eukaryota, Metazoa, Chordata, Lepidosauria, Squamata, Sphaerodactylidae.